Long non-coding RNA from Sebastes umbrosus (honeycomb rockfish), 140 nucleotides. RefSeq lists it as uncharacterized. NCBI's taxonomy places the organism in Eukaryota, Metazoa, Chordata, Actinopteri, Perciformes, Sebastidae. The transcript is spliced from 3 exons. The record is from RefSeq and is a predicted model, not a curated record.
UUUGUGUCUCUUUGUAGUCAUUUUGAGUCUCUUUGUAGUUUCUCUGUAUCUCUUUGUAGUCGUUCUGUGUCUCUUUAGUUGCUUUGAGUCUCUUUAGUUGCUUUGUGUCUCUUUGUAGUCGUUUUGUGUCUCUUUGUGGU